This 253-nucleotide ribosomal RNA is filed under the name uncultured bacterium. Its description in RNAcentral is "partial 16S ribosomal RNA". It matches the Rfam family "Bacterial small subunit ribosomal RNA", at positions 524 to 776 of the family's 1533-position model. The record is from RNAcentral.
UACGGAGGGGGCUAGCGUUGUUCGGAAUUACUGGGCGUAAAGCGCACGUAGGCGGCUUUGUAAGUCAGAGGUGAAAGCCCGGGGCUCAACUCCGGAAUUGCCUUUAAGACUGCAUCGCUAGAAUUGUGGAGAGGUAAGUGGAAUUCCGAGUGUAGAGGUGAAAUUCGUAGAUAUUCGGAAGAACACCAGUGGCGAAGGCGACUUACUGGACACAUAUUGACGCUGAGGUGCGAAAGCGUGGGGAGCAAACAGG